CCCUCUCUUUCUCUCUUAAAAGGGACCUCCCGGCUCCCAGCCGUCACCCCACGCACAGCCACCCCCACACAACCCCAACAACCCCAUGAUGGGACCUCAUGGCCAGCCUUUCAUGUCUCCAAGGUACCCAGGUGGACCUCGCCCCUCACUCCGCAUGCCAAAUCAGCCCCCUGUGGGAGGUCCAGGGUCACAGCCUCUCCUGCCA
Salvelinus sp. IW2-2015 is the source of this 205-nucleotide long non-coding RNA. RefSeq lists it as uncharacterized. The record is from RefSeq and is a predicted model, not a curated record. Lineage: Eukaryota; Metazoa; Chordata; Actinopteri; Salmoniformes; Salmonidae.